AUUGAACGCUGGCGGCAUGCCUUACACAUGCAAGUCGAACGCGAAAGCGGAGCAAUCCGCAAGUAGAGUGGCGAACGGGUGAGUAAUACAUCGGAACAUUUCCAGUAGCGGGGGAUAACCUGUCGAAAGAUAGGCUAAUACCGCAUACGCCCCACGGGGGAAAGCGGAGGACCACAAGGCUUCGCACUAUUGGAGUGGCC
Molecule: ribosomal RNA, 200 nt
Filed under: uncultured bacterium
Lineage: Bacteria
Description: partial 16S ribosomal RNA
Rfam family: Bacterial small subunit ribosomal RNA
Source: RNAcentral